GUCAUUGCAUACCCAGGCUGACAGCAUUUGGAAGGGGUGAGCUGGCUGCUGGCUCUUCUUCUCUCGGUUUUGCUGAAAAGGUUUAGCAUUUGCAGACACACUCAACUUCAGCCAAACCAAGCCUGCACCCAGCAAUUCUGCCUCAACAUUCUCUUGCAUACAUUAAAGGUGGAUGCAUGUAGCACUUUGCCUCUAAUUUACUGGAAAGCUUUGAGGUGGAGCAACUAAUGGCUAAUUUUUGCUGUAGAAACUUGUGAAAAUUCAGAAAAAGGUUUGUCCUUCCCUUACCCAGCUGGGCAGGGAAGGAGAGGGGAGAGCUAAUACCAGAGAAGACAGAAUCAACGAACUUGACAGGCUUCAACAAUGAGCCAAAAACAACAAGAUGAAAUUCAACAGAGUUAAUUUAAAGUCCUGCACUUAGCACCUUGGAGAAGAACAAUGAUAAUUGUCUUUAAAUAUCUGGAUGUGUUCUCAGUUGCUCCUGAGGAUGGAACUAGAACUACUGGCUUGAAAUUACAAGGAAGCCAUUUCAGACGAGACCUUAGGAGGACAUUCCUCCCAGUAAGAGCAGUCUGGCAUUGGACCAUUCUGACUAGUGUUGUGGUAAGAAGCAGAACAGUCGCCCGUCAGAAUUACUGCAGCAGUUUCUUGCAUUAAGAAACUGGUUGGGAAAGAAAUCCUGUGACUCUCUCCUUAUGGCAGACCGGACUCCCAGUAUACAGAACAGAGCGGAACUCUUUGUGGCCGACUUCUGACCUCUGCGCAUCCUGUCCAUGUGCAUUUGAUUUUGUUUGCUGAAAUGCAGAACUUCACAUUUACCUGACGUACCUGAAGGACUCAUCUAAAUGGUGCCCGUCGCUAUUGGAAAGACCUUCCACUAAUUCGAUGAAGCCUCCAGUUUUGCAAAUGUUGCCAAAGCUGAGACAGACAACAGAUGGUCAACAUCUGUGGAAAGAUGAUUAAAGCUGGCACAACAGCAAUGCAUAGCUGAGGCCUUAUGGACCAGUGAACAGCUGGAUAUUUUGGUGGUGGUUAGAAUAGUUUGUUUUGUGAUGAUAUAGCAAUAAGUGUCUAGAUUAAACUAACAGAUAUGAUGGAGGCA
This is a long non-coding RNA of Hemicordylus capensis (graceful crag lizard), 1102 nucleotides long. RefSeq lists it as uncharacterized. Lineage: Eukaryota; Metazoa; Chordata; Lepidosauria; Squamata; Cordylidae. The record is from RefSeq and is a predicted model, not a curated record. The transcript is spliced from 2 exons.